AUUGAACGCUGGCGGAAUGCUUUACACAUGCAAGUCGAACGGUAACAGGUCUUCGGAUGCUGACGAGUGGCGAACGGGUGAGUAAUAUAUCGGAACGUGCCCAGUCGUGGGGGAUAACGUAGCGAAAGUUACGCUAAUACCGCAUACGAUCUAUGGAUGAAAGCGGGGGAUCGCAAGACCUCGCGCGAUUGGAGCGGCCGAUAUCAGAUUAGGUAGUUGGUGGGGUAAAGGCUCACCAAGCCAACGAUCUGUAGCUGGUCUGAGAGGACGAUCAGCCACACUGGAACUGAGACACGGUCCAGACUCCUACGGGAGGCAGCAGUGGGGAAUUUUGGACAAUGGACGCAAGUCUGAUCCAGCCAUUCCGCGUGCAGGAUGAAGGCCCUCGGGUUGUAAACUGCUUUUGUACAGAACGAAAAGGCUCUUCCUAAUACGAGGGGCUCAUGACGGUACUGUAAGAAUAAGCACCGGCUAACUACGUGA
Molecule: ribosomal RNA, 483 nt
Filed under: uncultured bacterium
Lineage: Bacteria
Description: bacterial SSU rRNA
Rfam family: Bacterial small subunit ribosomal RNA
Source: RNAcentral